RNAcentral lists this small RNA (28 nucleotides) under Bombyx mori (domestic silkworm). Its description in RNAcentral is "ovarian small RNA-15738". Lineage: Eukaryota; Metazoa; Arthropoda; Insecta; Lepidoptera; Bombycidae. The record is from RNAcentral.
GAGCAAAGUGACAUUUGGCGCGGUUCGC